CCUACGGGGGGCUGCAGUGGGGAAUAUUGGACAAUGGGGGCAACCCUGAUCCAGCCAUGCCGCGUGUGUGAAGAAGUCCCUCGGGUUGUAAAGCACUUUCAGUGAGGAAGAACGCCUGGUGGUUAAUACCCAUCAGGAAAGACAUCACUCACAGAAGAAGCACCGGCUAACUCCGUGCCAGCAGCCGCGGUAAUACGGAGGGUGCGAGCGUUAAUCGGAAUUACUGGGCGUAAAGCGCGCGUAGGUGGCUUGAUAAGCCGGUUGUGUAAGCCCCGGGCUCAACCUGGGAACGGCAUCCGGAACUGUCAAGCUAGAGUGCAGGAGAGGAAGGUAGAAUUCCCGGUGUAGCGGUGAAAUGCGUAGAGAUCGGGAGGAAUACCAGUGGCGAAGGCGGCCUUCUGGACUGACACUGACACUGAGGUGCGAAAGCGUGGGUAGCAAACAGGAUUAGAUACCCCUGUAGUC
This 465-nucleotide ribosomal RNA is filed under the name Vreelandella stevensii. Its description in RNAcentral is "partial 16S ribosomal RNA". It matches the Rfam family "Bacterial small subunit ribosomal RNA", at positions 338 to 795 of the family's 1533-position model. Lineage: Bacteria; Pseudomonadati; Pseudomonadota; Gammaproteobacteria; Oceanospirillales; Halomonadaceae. The record is from RNAcentral.